RNAcentral lists this ribosomal RNA (253 nucleotides) under uncultured bacterium. Its description in RNAcentral is "partial 16S ribosomal RNA". It matches the Rfam family "Bacterial small subunit ribosomal RNA", at positions 524 to 776 of the family's 1533-position model. The record is from RNAcentral.
UACAGAGGGUGCGAGCGUUGUCCGGAAUCACUGGGCGUAAAGGGCGCGUAGGCGGCCCGGUAAGGUUGCGGUGAAAGCCCGGGGCUCAACCCCGGGUCGGCCGUGGCAACUGCUGGGCUGGAGCACAGUAGAGGCGGGUGGAAUUCCGGGUGUAGCGGUGGAAUGCGUAGAGAUCCGGAAGAACACCGGUGGCGAAGGCGGCCCGCUGGGCUGUUGCUGACGCUGAGGCGCGACAGCGGGGGGAGCAAACAGG